Long non-coding RNA from Suricata suricatta (meerkat), 554 nucleotides. RefSeq lists it as uncharacterized. The transcript is spliced from 3 exons. Lineage: Eukaryota; Metazoa; Chordata; Mammalia; Carnivora; Herpestidae. The record is from RefSeq and is a predicted model, not a curated record.
CCCCUGGCCCCUCCCCCCAGGUGAACACAAGGGGAAGGGGCCCUCUGUGGACACCAAGCCGCUGAGACUCCAUCCCAGAAGUCCCGCUCCCGCCACAGCUACAAGAGGUACAGGUCCUGCAGGCCAGCUUCCCGGCUGAGCCCCGUGGCGCGUGUGGUCCCCUAGCCAUGGGCAGAGAUGCAGGUCUGGGUGUGAGUACACCAAGCGUGCGUCCCUGGGUGUCUCGGUGCCUUCAGGUUUCUACGUUGAGUCGUCAUUGACUGUGUGGUCUGUACUGUUGACUCGGUCUUCUUCGCUGCACUUGUCGGCGUUUCUGAAGUUCUUGGAGCUGUUGAGCUGUGGUCCGGUGCCUCCCGUCACUGAUGAUGUGACGGCGUUUGUCCAGUCCGUUGGUUUUGGGUAUUAACUGUUGGCACUGGACCACAGCUCAGCAGGCCUCCUUCCCCAGAGUCUGAUUUGAAGGAAUACCAUUUAAUUCCCAACUAACGAGCAGAAAGCGGCUUGUCUGCCCUCCAUCACCCUCCUUCAUCCUUCCGGCCUGUGACGGCUGAAGA